GCCGGGCGUGGUGGCUCACGCCUGUAAUCCCAGCCCUUUGGGAGGCCGAGGUGGGUGGAUCACCUGAGGUCAGGAGUUCGAGACCAGCCUGACCAACAUGGAGAAACCCCAUCUCUA
This 117-nucleotide signal recognition particle RNA is filed under the name Pan paniscus (pygmy chimpanzee). RNAcentral describes it as "Metazoan signal recognition particle RNA". It matches the Rfam family "Metazoan signal recognition particle RNA". From Rfam's summary of the family: The signal recognition particle (SRP) is a universally conserved ribonucleoprotein. It is involved in the co-translational targeting of proteins to membranes. Lineage: Eukaryota; Metazoa; Chordata; Mammalia; Primates; Hominidae. The record is from Rfam by way of RNAcentral. RNAcentral also lists the same sequence under 1 other name.